GACGAACGCUGGCGGCGUGCUUAACACAUGCAAGUCGAACGAGGAAUGUUUGGCUUUCGGCUGACAUUCGAGUGGCGGACGGGUGAGUAACGCGUGAGCAAUCUGUCCCACAGAGGGGGAUAACAACUGGAAACAGUUGCUAAUACCGCAUAAGACCACACUGUCGCAUGACAGAGAGGUCAAAGGAGCAAUCCGCUGUGGGGUGAGCUCGCGUCCGAUUAGUUCGUUGGUGAGGUAACGGCCCACCAAGACAGCGAUCGGUAGCCGACCUGAGAGGGUGAUUCGGCCACAUUGGGACUGAGACACGGCCCAGACUCCUACGGGAGGCAGCAGUGGGGAAUAUUGGGCAAUGGGCGAAAGCCUGACCCAGCAACGCCGCGUGAGGGAAGAAGGUUUUCGGAUUGUAAACCUCUGUCCUAAGGGACGAAGGAAGUGACGGUACCUUAGGAGGAAGCCCCGGCUAACUACGUGCCAGCAGCCGCGGUAAUACGUAGGGGGCGAGCGUUGUCCGGAAUGACUGGGCGUAAAGGGCGUGUAGGCGGCAGUAUAAGUCCGGAGUGAAAGUCCUGCUUUCAAGGUGGGAAUUGCUUUGGAGACUGUACAGCUUGAGUGCGGAAGAGGUAAGUGGAAUUCCCAGUGUAGCGGUGAAAUGCGUAGAGAUUGGGAGGAACACCAGUGGCGAAGGCGACUUACUGGGCCGUAACUGACGCUGAGGCGCGAAAGCGUGGGGAGCGAACAGGAUUAGAUACCCUGGUAGUCCACGCGGUAAACGAUGAAUGCUAGGUGUAGGGGGUAUCGACCCCUUCUGUGCCGGAGUAAACACAAUAAGCAUUCCGCCUGGGGAGUACGGCCGCAAGGUUGAAACUCAAAGGAAUUGACGGGGGCCCGCACAAGCAGCGGAGCAUGUGGUUUAAUUCGACGCAACGCGAAGAACCUUACCAGGUCUUGACAUCGAUCCAAAGCUACAGAGAUGUAGUGUGACUUCGGUCAGGAGAAGACAGGUGGUGCAUGGUUGUCGUCAGCUCGUGUCGUGAGAUGUUGGGUUAAGUCCCGCAACGAGCGCAACCCUUAUUGUCAGUUACUAACGGGUAAAGCUGAGGACUCUGACGAGACUGCCGGGGACAACUCGGAGGAAGGUGGGGACGACGUCAAAUCAUCAUGCCCCUUAUGACCUGGGCUACACACGUGCUACAAUGGUGGUAACAAAGAGGAGCGAGCCCGUAAGGGUAAGCGGAUCUCAAAAAAGCCAUCUCAGUUCGGAUUGUGGGCUGCAACCCGCCCACAUGAAGUUGGAGUUGCUAGUAAUCGCGAAUCAGCAUGUCGCGGUGAAUACGUUCCCGGGCCU
Molecule: ribosomal RNA, 1345 nt
Filed under: uncultured bacterium
Lineage: Bacteria
Description: bacterial SSU rRNA
Rfam family: Bacterial small subunit ribosomal RNA
Source: RNAcentral